AAAACAUCUUUUCUUGUUAGUUUUUGAAGUAUGGCCUGCCCGCUGACAUUUGGUGUUGAAGGGCCGCGGUAUUUUGACCGUGCAAAGGUAGCAUAAUCAUUAGUUCUUUAAUUGUGAUCUGGAAUGAAUGGCUUGACGAGGCACGGGCUGUCUUAGUGUUGAAUGUUUUAUUGAAUUUGGUCUUUGAGUUAAAAUUCUUAGAUGUUUUUGUGGGACGAGAAGACCCUAUAGAGUUUGACAUUUGGUUUAUUUACUUGUUUGUUGUUUGUUUAUUUUUGGUGAGUGGGCUUUUUGUUUUGUUGGGGUGAUGGGAGGAAUGUACUUAACUCCUCUUAGUUUUGGUUAUAUUGAUUUAUAAUUAUUUGAUCCAUUUAUUUUGAUUGUAAGACUAAAUUACCUUAGGGAUAACAGCGU
Molecule: ribosomal RNA, 414 nt
Filed under: Coptotermes gestroi
Lineage: Eukaryota; Metazoa; Arthropoda; Insecta; Blattodea; Rhinotermitidae
Description: partial 16S ribosomal RNA
Source: RNAcentral